This is a non-coding RNA of Desmophyllum pertusum, 78 nucleotides long. The record is from the annotation of a GenBank genome assembly. Lineage: Eukaryota; Metazoa; Cnidaria; Anthozoa; Scleractinia; Caryophylliidae.
GAUUCGGUGCCCUAAUGGUUAGUGCAUUGGACUCUGGAUCGAGUGGUUCAGGUUCAAGCCCUGUUGUGGUUGGGGUCA